Molecule: ribosomal RNA, 497 nt
Filed under: uncultured bacterium
Lineage: Bacteria
Description: partial 16S ribosomal RNA
Rfam family: Bacterial small subunit ribosomal RNA
Source: RNAcentral
GAUGAACGCUGGCGGCGUGCCUAAUACAUGCAAGUCGAGCGAACGGACGAUAAGCUUGCUUCUCUGAUGUUAGCGGCGGACGGGUGAGUAAGACGUGGAUAACCUACCUAUAAGACUGGGAUAACUUCGGGAAACCGGAGCUAAUACCGGAUAAUAUUUUGAACCGCAUGGUUCAAAAGUGAAAGACGGUCUUGCUGUUACUUAUAGAUGGAUCCGCGCUGCAUUAGCUAGUUGGUAAGGUAACGGCUUACCAAGGCAACGAUGCAUAGCCGACCUGAGAGGGUGAUCGGCCACACUGGAACUGAGACACGGUCCAGACUCCUACGGGAGGCAGCAGUAGGGAAUCUUCCGCAAUGGGCGAAAGCCUGACGGAGCAACGCCGCGUGAGUGAUGAAGGUCUUCGGAUCGUAAAACUCUGUUAUUAGGAAAGAAAAUAUGUGUAAGUAACUGUGCACAUCUUGACGGUACCUAAUCAGAAAGCAACGGCUAACUACGUG